AUUGAACGCUGGCGGCAGGCCUAACACAUGCAAGUCGAACGAGUGGCGGACGGGUGAGUAAUGUCUGGGAAACUGCCUGAUGGAGGGGGAUAACUACUGGAAACGGUAGCUAAUACCGCAUACCAUCAGAUGUGCCCAGAUGGGAUUGGCUUGUUGGUGGGGUAACGGCUCACCAAGGCGACGAUCCCUAGCUGGGCUGAGAGGAUGACGAGCCACAGUGGAACGGGGACACGGCCCAGACUCCUACGGGAGGCAGAAGUGGGGAAUAUUGCACAAUGGGCGAAAGCCUGAUGCAGCCAUGCGGCGUGUAUGAGGAAGGCCUUCGGGUUGUAAAGUACGUUCAGCGGGGAGGCGUUACCCGCAGAAGAAGCACCGGCUAACUCCGUGCCAGCAGCCGCGGUAAUUC
This 406-nucleotide ribosomal RNA is filed under the name uncultured bacterium. RNAcentral's name for it is "partial 16S ribosomal RNA". It matches the Rfam family "Bacterial small subunit ribosomal RNA", at positions 29 to 526 of the family's 1533-position model. The record is from RNAcentral.